This is a long non-coding RNA of Neopelma chrysocephalum (saffron-crested tyrant-manakin), 1253 nucleotides long. RefSeq lists it as uncharacterized. The transcript is spliced from 11 exons. NCBI's taxonomy places the organism in Eukaryota, Metazoa, Chordata, Aves, Passeriformes, Pipridae. The record is from RefSeq and is a predicted model, not a curated record.
GGAAAGGAGUGUGGGCCUGAACAUGUGAGUAUCUGAAGAAAUGGUGUGGAGAAACAUGAGGGAGGUCUGGCUCAGCAGCAACUGAGUGCUGGGCUGUUGGACCCUCAUGUGACAAUGGGACAAAGGCCAUUGUUGGAGAUGGAGUGUGAUGGGAAGACUUGAACACCUUCUGAAGCCUUGGAGAAUGAAGGAGCUGCUCUUGUUGAGAAGAAAAGAGAACAGCAAAGAAAAAGGUGUCAGAAGUUUGCAAAAGCAGGAAGAGAUAAAUUAAAACAAAUCCUGUGUAAGCUGGUUUGAGUUCAGCAUUUCGCAACCGAUGUGGUUAACUGAGUUGUAUUAUUGCCAUUCACAACAUCAAGGCACAUGAGAAUGAGAAAUAGAGGACGGAAAGGAAAAGAAUGUGGUGUAUGGAAUCUGGGAAUUCCACCAGUGCCCUUAAAUUCCACAAACCGAGUGAGGUUCCAGAGUGCCCUGCAGCAAACUUGUAUCAGAGAACAGUGAUUUGCUGACUCUUUUCUCAAUGUUUCUUGCAAGAGUGUUCUGAAAAAUACGGAGUCAUUUCAGUCAAUGAGUUGUUGUUCUCCCCCUCACCACGUUUCUGUGGUCACUGUCACCAAUGGAAAUCACAAGCUCGUUAUUAUCACUUGAGCUGGCCUACACCAAUUCCCUUGAUCCAGUGGACUGAUGAUCCAUCGGUAUCCUGCUUUCUUCAUGCCCCAGUCAAGGUAGAAUGGGGAAAUACAGUUUUCUGCUCUCUGUGAGAAGAGCACAUGUUCAGAAAGAACCUGACUUUUGCUCUGGCCUGGAUGUAUAUAAGUAGUUUGGUAUGCAAGAAUCAGCUGUUGAAGCCUACAAGUUAUUCAGGUCCAGUGAAUUCAGUGCAGAUCCUUCUGACUGACAGCAGCAUCCAGGCACCUACUGACAGAGGUGUGUGCAGUUUGUGUGAUUUGAAAUAGGCCUUUGAUUACAAAAGAAAGCUUUAAUACAAACAGCAGCAGCAUCAAAGCAAAAAUCUAGAUUUUGCUGACCUUAAUAGCCAUUUUAACAGUAGCAAUCCAUAACAAAUAGAAAUGCCCCUUCAGUGCAAUUACUGUAUUCACUUAUUUUUCUUGACACGUGGGCCAAUCCUGAAACAUCCCAAAUGGAUUUUUCUCAACCUUUCCUAAAGCCCUUUAUAUGGGCCUUGUUGGAGAUGACAGAACACAUUUUGUCCUUUUUGUGAGUGUGUUUUGUUUUAAUUCUUAUCCUGACCU